GAUGAACGCUGGCGGCGUGCCUAAUACAUGCAAGUCGAGCGAACGGACGAGAAGCUUGCUUCUCUGAUGUUAGCGGCGGACGGGUGAGUAACACGUGGAUAACCUACCUAUAAGACUGGGAUAACUUCGGGAAACCGGAGCUAAUACCGGAUAAUAUUUUGAACCGCAUGGUUCAAAAGUGAAAGACGGUCUUGCUGUCACUUAUAGAUGGAUCCGCGCUGCAUUAGCUAGUUGGUAAGGUAACGGCUUACCAAGGCAACGAUGCAUAGCCGACCUGAGAGGGUGAUCGGCCACACUGGAACUGAGACACGGUCCAGACUCCUACGGGAGGCAGCAGUAGGGAAUCUUCCGCAAUGGGCGAAAGCCUGACGGAGCAACGCCGCGUGAGUGAUGAAGGUCUUCGGAUCGUAAAACUCUGUUAUUAGGGAAGAACAUAUGUGUAAGUAACUGUGCACAUCUUGACGGUACCUAAUCAGAAAGCCACGGCUAACUACGUGCCAGCAGCCGCGGUAAUACGUAGGUGGCAAGCGUUAUCCGGAAUUAUUGGGCGUAAAGCGCGCGUAGGCGGUUUUUUAAGUCUGAUGUGAAAGCCCACGGCUCAACCGUGGAGGGUCAUUGGAAACUGGAAAACUUGAGUGCAGAAGAGGAAAGUGGAAUUCCAUGUGUAGCGGUGAAAUGCGCAGAGAUAUGGAGGAACACCAGUGGCGAAGGCGACUUUCUGGUCUGUAACUGACGCUGAUGUGCGAAAGCGUGGGGAUCAAACAGGAUUAGAUACCCUGGUAGUCCACGCCGUAAACGAUGAGUGCUAAGUGUUAGGGGGUUUCCGCCCCUUAGUGCUGCAGCUAACGCAUUAAGCACUCCGCCUGGGGAGUACGACCGCAAGGUUGAAACUCAAAGGAAUUGACGGGGACCCGCACAAGCGGUGGAGCAUGUGGUUUAAUUCGAAGCAACGCGAAGAACCUUACCAAAUCUUGACAUCCUUUGACAACUCUAGAGAUAGAGCUUUCCCCUUCGGGGGACAAAGUGACAGGUGGUGCAUGGUUGUCGUCAGCUCGUGUCGUGAGAUGUUGGGUUAAGUCCCGCAACGAGCGCAACCCUUAAGCUUAGUUGCCAUCAUUAAGUUGGGCACUCUAAGUUGACUGCCGGUGACAAACCGGAGGAAGGUGGGGAUGACGUCAAAUCAUCAUGCCCCUUAUGAUUUGGGCUACACACGUGCUACAAUGGACAAUACAAAGGGCAGCGAAACCGCGAGGUCAAGCAAAUCCCAUAAAGUUGUUCUCAGCUCGGAUUGUAGUCUGCAACUCGACUACAUGAAGCUGGAAUCGCUAGUAAUCGUAGAUCAGCAUGCUACGGUGAAUACGUUCCCGGGUCU
This 1372-nucleotide ribosomal RNA is filed under the name uncultured bacterium. Its description in RNAcentral is "bacterial SSU rRNA". It matches the Rfam family "Bacterial small subunit ribosomal RNA", at positions 28 to 1381 of the family's 1533-position model. The record is from RNAcentral.